This 375-nucleotide ribosomal RNA is filed under the name uncultured bacterium. RNAcentral's name for it is "bacterial SSU rRNA". It matches the Rfam family "Bacterial small subunit ribosomal RNA", at positions 524 to 898 of the family's 1533-position model. The record is from RNAcentral.
UACGUAGGGAGCAAGCGUUAUCCGGAUUUAUUGGGUGUAAAGGGUGCGUAGGCGGGAAGGCAAGUUGAAUGUGAAAUACCGGGGCUCAACUCCGGGGCUGCGUUCAAAACUACUUUUCUUGAGUACAGCAGAGGCAAGCGGAAUUCCCAGUGUAGCGGUAAUAUGCGUAGAUAUUGGGAGGAACACCGGUGGCGAAGGCGGCUUACUGGGCUGCAACUGACGCUGAAGCACGAAAGGGUGGGGAGCAAACAGGAUUAGAUACCCUGGUAGUCCACACUGUAAACGAUGAUUACUAGGUGUGGGGAGAUUGACCCUCUCCGUGCCGCAGUUAACACAAUAAGUAAUCCACCUGAGUAGUACGGCCGCAAGGUUGAA